GCCCCGGUGGCGGAAUUGGUAGACGCGCUGGUCUCAAACACCAGUGAACUCUGUUCAUGUCGGUUCGAGCCCGACCCUGGGUA
RNAcentral lists this transfer RNA (83 nucleotides) under marine sediment metagenome. It matches the Rfam family "tRNA". From Rfam's summary of the family: Transfer RNA (tRNA) molecules are approximately 80 nucleotides in length. Their secondary structure includes four short double-helical elements and three loops (D, anti-codon, and T loops). The record is from RNAcentral.